Molecule: unclassified non-coding RNA, 148 nt
Organism: Callithrix jacchus (white-tufted-ear marmoset)
Lineage: Eukaryota; Metazoa; Chordata; Mammalia; Primates; Cebidae
Rfam family: Metazoan signal recognition particle RNA
About the family: The signal recognition particle (SRP) is a universally conserved ribonucleoprotein. It is involved in the co-translational targeting of proteins to membranes.
Source: Ensembl
GCUGGGCAUGGUGAUGUACACCUGUAGUCCAAGCUCCUUUGGAGGCUGAGGCAGGAGGAUCACUUGAGCCCUGGAGUUCAAGACUGCAGUGAGCUAUGAUCACACCACUGCACUAUAGCCUGGGCAAGAGAGAGAGACCCUGUCUCUA